This 159-nucleotide ribosomal RNA is filed under the name uncultured bacterium. RNAcentral's name for it is "partial 16S ribosomal RNA". It matches the Rfam family "Bacterial small subunit ribosomal RNA", at positions 355 to 511 of the family's 1533-position model. The record is from RNAcentral.
UAAGGAAUAUUGGUCAAUGGGCGGAAGCCUGAACCAGCCAUGCCGCGUGCAGGAAGACUGCCCUACGGGUUGUAAACUGCUUUUGUACCGGAAUAAACCUUGAUUCGUGAAUCAAGCUGAAUGUACGGUAAGAAUAAGGAUCGGCUAACUCCGUGCCAG